This 509-nucleotide ribosomal RNA is filed under the name uncultured bacterium. RNAcentral's name for it is "bacterial SSU rRNA". It matches the Rfam family "Bacterial small subunit ribosomal RNA", at positions 28 to 526 of the family's 1533-position model. The record is from RNAcentral.
GAUGAACGCUAGCUACAGGCUUAACACAUGCGAGUCGAGGGGCAGCAUGAUCGAAGCUUGCUUUGAUUGAUGGCGACCGGCGCACGGGUGAGUAACGCGUAUCCAACCUUCCCUAUAGUAGAGGAUAGCCCGGCGAAAGUCGGAUUAAUACUCUAUGUUUUCCAAUGCAGACAUCUAAAAUGGAACAAAGGUUUACCGCUAUAGGAUGGGGAUGCGUCUGAUUAGGUAGUCGGCGGGGUAACGGCCCACCGAGCCCUCGAUCAGUAGGGGUUCUGAGAGGAAGGUCCCCCACAUUGGAACUGAGACACGGUCCAAACUCCUACGGGAGGCAGCAGUGAGGAAUAUUGGUCAAUGGGCGCGAGCCUGAACCAGCCAAGUAGCGUGCAGGAUGACGGCCCUAUGGGUUGUAAACUGCUUUUAUACAGGGAUAAAGUGGGGAACGUGUUCCCUUUUGUAGGUACUGUAUGAAUAAGGACCGGCUAAUUCCGUGCCAGCCGCCGCCGUAAUAC